GCCUACCAUGGUGGUAACGGGUAACGGGGUGUUAGGGCACGACACCGGAGAGGGAGCCUGAGAAACGGCUACCACAUCCAAGGAUGGCAGCAGGCGCGCAAAUUACCCAAUCCCGACACGGGGAGGUAGUGACAAUAAAUAACAAUACGGGGUCCUUUCGGGUUUCGUAAUUGGAAUGAGUACAAUUUAAAUCUCUUAACGAGGAACAAUUGGAGGGCAAGUCUGGUGCCAGCAGCCGCGGUAAUUCCAGCUCCAAUAGCGUAUAUUAAAGUUGUUGCAGUUAAAAAGCUCGUAGUUGAAUUUCGGGAUUAGUACGUCGGUCGUGCCUUAGGUACGUACUGGUGUUACUGGUUCCUACCUUCUGACGAACCAUCAUGUCAUUAAUUUGGUGUGGCGGGGAAUCAGGACUGUUACUUUGAAAAAAUUAGAGUGUUUAAAGCAGGCUCGCGCUUGAAUACAUUAGCAUGGGAUAAUGAAAUAGGACGUUGACCCUAUUUUGUUGGUUUCUAGGAUUGACGUAAUGAUUAAUAGGGAUAGUUGGGGGCAUUAGUAUUCAAUUGUCAGAGGUGAAAUUCUUGGAUUUAUUGAAGACUAACUACUGCGAAAGCAUUUGCCAAGGAUGUUUUCAUUAAUCAAGAACGAAAGUUAGGGGAUCGAAGACGAUCAGAUACCGUCGUA
This 678-nucleotide ribosomal RNA is filed under the name uncultured Glomus. Its description in RNAcentral is "SSU rRNA". It matches the Rfam family "Eukaryotic small subunit ribosomal RNA", at positions 339 to 1022 of the family's 1831-position model. The record is from RNAcentral. Lineage: Eukaryota; Fungi; Glomeromycota; Glomeromycetes; Glomerales; Glomeraceae.